Molecule: ribosomal RNA, 253 nt
Filed under: uncultured bacterium
Lineage: Bacteria
Description: partial 16S ribosomal RNA
Rfam family: Bacterial small subunit ribosomal RNA
Source: RNAcentral
UACGUAGGGCGCAAGCGUUAUCCGGAAUUAUUGGGCGUAAAGAGCUCGUAGGCGGUUUGUCGCGUCUGCCGUGAAAGUCCGGGGCUCAACUCCGGAUCUGCGGUGGGUACGGGCAGACUAGAGUGAUGUAGGGGAGACUGGAAUUCCUGGUGUAGCGGUGAAAUACGCAGAUAUCAGGAGGAACACCGAUGGCGAAGGCAGGUCUCUGGGCUGUAACUGACGCUGAGGAGCGAAAGCAUGGGGAGCGAACAGG